This 637-nucleotide ribosomal RNA is filed under the name Plasmodium vivax (malaria parasite P. vivax). RNAcentral's name for it is "SSU rRNA". It matches the Rfam family "Eukaryotic small subunit ribosomal RNA", at positions 139 to 777 of the family's 1831-position model. Lineage: Eukaryota; Apicomplexa; Aconoidasida; Haemosporida; Plasmodiidae. The record is from RNAcentral.
AAGGAUAACUACGGAAAAGCUGUAGCUAAUACUUGCUUUAGCACUCUUGAUUCAUUUCUUGAGUGUGUACUUGUUAAGCCUUUUAAGAAAAAAGUUAUUAACUUAAGGAAUUAUAACAAAGAAGCGACACGUAAUGGAUCCGUCCAUUUUUAGUGUGUAUCAAUCGAGUUUCUGACCUAUCAGCUUUUGAUGUUAGGGUAUUGGCCUAACAUGGCUAUGACGGGUAACGGGGAAUUAGAGUUCGAUUCCGGAGAGGGAGCCUGAGAAAUAGCUACCACAUCUAAGGAAGGCAGCAGGCGCGUAAAUUACCCAAUUCUAAAGAAGAGAGGUAGUGACAAGAAAUAACAAUACAAGGCCAAUCUGGCUUUGUAAUUGGAAUGAUGGGAAUUUAAAACCUUCCCAAAACUCAAUUGGAGGGCAAGUCUGGUGCCAGCAGCCGCGGUAAUUCCAGCUCCAAUAGCGUAUAUAAAAAUUGUUGCAGUUAAAACGCUCGUAGUUGAAUUUCAAAGAAUCGAUAUUUUAAGCAACGCUUCUAGCUUAAUCCACAUAACUGAUACUUCGUAUCGACUUUGUGCGCAUUUUGCUAUUAUGUGUUCUUUUAAUUAAAAUGAUUCUUUUUAAGGACUUUCUUUGCUUC